This 461-nucleotide ribosomal RNA is filed under the name uncultured bacterium. RNAcentral describes it as "partial 16S ribosomal RNA". It matches the Rfam family "Bacterial small subunit ribosomal RNA", at positions 338 to 795 of the family's 1533-position model. The record is from RNAcentral.
CCUACGGGUGGCAGCAGUGAGGAAUAUUGGUCAAUGGGCUUACGCCUGAACCAGCCAAGUCGCGUGAGGGAAGACUGCCCUAUGGGUUGUAAACCUCUUUUGUCAGGGAGCAACGCCGGCUACGUGUAGCCGGCCUGAGAGUACCUGAAGACAAAGCAUCGGCUAACUCCGUGCCAGCAGCCGCGGUAAUACGGAGGAUGCGAGCGUUCUCCGGAUUUAUUGGGUUUAAAGGGAGCGUAGAUGGGUUGUUAAGUCAGUUGUGAAAGUUUGCGGCUCAACCGUAAAAUUGCAAUUGAUACUGGCAGGCUGGAGUACAGUUGAGGUAGGCGGAAUUCGUGGUGUAGCGGUGAAAUGCUUAGAUAUCACGAAGAACUCCGAUUGCGAUGGCAGCUUACUAAACUGCCACUGACAUUGAUGCUCGAAAGUGUGGGGAGCAAACAGGAUUAGAUACCCCAGUAGUC